GACGAACGCUGGCGGCGUGCUUAACACAUGCAAGUCGAACGGAAAGGCCCUGCUUUUGUGGGGUGCUCGAGUGGCGAACGGGUGAGUAACACGUGAGUAACCUGCCCUUGACUUUGGGAUAACUUCAGGAAACUGGGGCUAAUACCGGAUAGGAUCUCCUGCUGCAUGGUGGGGGUUGGAAAGUUUCGGCGGUUGGGGAUGGACUCGCGGCUUAUCAGCUGGUUUGUGGGGUAGUGGAUUACGAAGGCUUUGAGGGGUAGCCGGCCUGGGAGGGUGAACAGCCACAUUAGGACUGCGAUACGGACCAGACUCCUACGGGAGGCAGCAGUGGGGAAUAUUGCGCAAUGGGCGGGAGCCUGAGGCAGCAACGCCGCGUGCGGGAUGACGGCCUUCGGGUUGUAAACCGCUUUCGCCUGUGACGAAGAGUGAGUGACGGUAAUGGGUAAAGAAGCACCGGCUAACUACGUG
RNAcentral lists this ribosomal RNA (468 nucleotides) under uncultured bacterium. RNAcentral describes it as "partial 16S ribosomal RNA". It matches the Rfam family "Bacterial small subunit ribosomal RNA", at positions 28 to 507 of the family's 1533-position model. The record is from RNAcentral.